This is a long non-coding RNA of Dipodomys spectabilis (banner-tailed kangaroo rat), 107 nucleotides long. RefSeq lists it as uncharacterized. NCBI's taxonomy places the organism in Eukaryota, Metazoa, Chordata, Mammalia, Rodentia, Heteromyidae. The transcript is spliced from 3 exons. The record is from RefSeq and is a predicted model, not a curated record.
GUAGGUUGAGACAGGGGGGUAAAACUGGGAGAGACUGAGGGAGGUGGUGACAAUGUUCAAAAGGAAACGUAUUCAUUACCCGACUUAUGUAACUGUAACCUCUCUGU